Non-coding RNA from Peromyscus maniculatus bairdii (prairie deer mouse), 759 nucleotides. The record is from RefSeq and is a predicted model, not a curated record. NCBI's taxonomy places the organism in Eukaryota, Metazoa, Chordata, Mammalia, Rodentia, Cricetidae.
GGAAGGGUGAGAUUUUAGCUCUGAGCUCUGACCUCUCGGCUUUCUCCUUUACAUUGUUUCUGUGUUUCUUAUUUAAUAAGACGGUUGGUUACAUCUACAUUUCCUCCUCUGAGAAUCAUUUGUAUGAACCUGAAAAUCUUUGUUCUUUCAACCUUGUAAGUGAAAAAGCAAAUGACCCUGGAGAUAAGUAAACCUUUAAACAUCAAAACAUUGGCUGGUUACAGAGAGAAGUCAAGGCUCCGCACGAGUGGAGAGGCAGCUGGGCACCUGUACAAAGAAAACGAAGACUGCUGGAGAGGUGAGAAGGAGGGCUUAAACUCCCAGGAGGAGAAGCUUCGUCCCUGUGCCAGCUGAACACCUCGAGGGCCGUCACUGUCUGCUGCAAAAGUUGAGGCUCCAGAAGCAUGUGCUAACUUAGGCGAAUCCCUUCCAGACAUUUCGGGAGCUUACAGGUGGAGACAGCAGGCAGGGGCCACAUUGUCUGGACAGAUUUCUGCUUCUGUGAAAGAGGAAAGAGAAUGUUAUUGGGUAAAUUAACAAUAACAGCGCUGGAGUCUUCAGGCUGCAGAGCAGGUGUUUUGAAGGGGAAAACAAUGCGGUCUUAUCUUUAUUUCUGGCUUUGUGAAGAACCAGGAAGACGAAAUCAGUAAUUUCAAGAUGAGUCACUGGAAACAAGUGGUUUCACAGAACACCUUCAAGUUUUAAACAGGUGGUGGUGGUGCAUGCCUUUGAUCUCAGCACUCGGGAGGCACACAGAUC